UGGGGAAUAUUGGACAAUGGGCGCAAGCCUGAUCCAGCCAUGCCGCGUGUGUGAAGAAGGCCUUUUGGUUGUAAAGCACUUUAAGCGAGGAGGAGGCUACUUGGAUUAAUACUCUAGGAUAGUGGACGUUACUCGCAGAAUAAGCACCGGCUAACUCUGUGCCAGCAGCCGCGGUAAUACAGAGGGUGCGAGCGUUAAUCGGAUUUACUGGGCGUAAAGCGUGCGUAGGCGGCUUUUUAAGUCGGAUGUGAAAUCCCUGAGCUUAACUUAGGAAUUGCAUUCGAUACUGGGAAGCUAGAGUAUGGGAGAGGAUGGUAGAAUUCCAGGUGUAGCGCUGAAAUGCGUAGAGAUCUGGAGGAAUACCGAUGGCGAAGGCAGCCAUCUGGCCUAAUACUGACGCUGAGGUACGAAAGCAUGGGGAGCAAACAGG
This 430-nucleotide ribosomal RNA is filed under the name Acidobacteriota bacterium. Its description in RNAcentral is "Acidobacteria bacterium partial 16S ribosomal RNA". It matches the Rfam family "Bacterial small subunit ribosomal RNA", at positions 355 to 776 of the family's 1533-position model. Lineage: Bacteria; Pseudomonadati; Acidobacteriota. The record is from RNAcentral.